UAUGAAAUAAACCUCAAAAUUGAGGACAGUAGGUGAAAGCCCAAACGUGGAUGGACUAGUUAUCUCUGGCAGAUUUCCGGUACAAUACUGCGCACCAUUCCACUAUAUGGUGUUCCUCCACCAUUUUCUGUCCCUCUUAUCCUUGGUGAUUUUAAUGUAGCUGCGGUUGAUAUAUACAAUCGUAAUAAGAAAGCUACCAUUUCUCUUCUUAAGCACCAUCUCACCAAGGCAAUGAACUGAAUGAAGCAACAAGCAAUCGCCAUCGGUAUGAUAGAACUUUUGAGAUCGGAGAAAUGGUGUUUAUAA
Molecule: unclassified non-coding RNA, 306 nt
Filed under: Hevea brasiliensis (rubber tree)
Lineage: Eukaryota; Viridiplantae; Streptophyta; Magnoliopsida; Malpighiales; Euphorbiaceae
Source: RNAcentral